RNAcentral lists this ribosomal RNA (425 nucleotides) under uncultured bacterium. Its description in RNAcentral is "partial 16S ribosomal RNA". It matches the Rfam family "Bacterial small subunit ribosomal RNA", at positions 354 to 796 of the family's 1533-position model. The record is from RNAcentral.
GUGGGGAAUCUUGCGCAAUGGGCGAAAGCCUGACGCAGCCAUGCCGCGUGAAUGAUGAAGGUCUUAGGAUUGUAAAAUUCUUUCACCGGGGACGAUAAUGACGGUACCCGGAGAAGAAGCUCCGGCUAACUUCGUGCCAGCAGCCGCGGUAAUACGAAGGGGGCUAGCGUUGCUCGGAAUUACUGGGCGUAAAGGGCGCGUAGGCGGACAGCUUAGUCAGAGGUGAAAGCACAGGGCUCAACCUUGGAAUUGCCUUUGAUACUGGCUGUCUUGAGUUUGGGAGAGGUGAGUGGAACUCCGAGUGUAGAGGUGAAAUUCGUAGGUAUUCGGAAGAACACCAGUGGCGAAGGCGACUCACUGGCCCGUUACUGACGCUGAGGCGCGAAAGCGUGGGGAGCAAACAGGAUUAGAUACCCGGGUAGUCC